Polistes canadensis is the source of this 70-nucleotide non-coding RNA. The record is from the annotation of a RefSeq genome assembly. NCBI's taxonomy places the organism in Eukaryota, Metazoa, Arthropoda, Insecta, Hymenoptera, Vespidae.
UUCGUAGCUCAGUUGGUAGAGUGUUCGUUCGGUAAGCGAAAGGUUCCGGGUUCAAAUCCCGGCCUAGAAA